UAGUCAGGAGCCGGUGGCUCUAUUUGUUGCCUUCGAGAGCUCGACGACAUGGGUGUCUUUUUAAUCGCAUAAAUGUAAAUUCCAGUCAUCGUAAGGGUGUACGAAAGGAAGUACAGAGUGUGGAACUGGAAAUUCAAAUCGAUGUACCAGCAUUCCGAAUAAGAUGUUGAAGAAAUCUGCGGUUAGAAGAGCCAACUGCAAGGCCGUAGCGCCAGAUUCGAAGAGGAUCACAGGUACCAGGGAGAAGAAGACGAAUUGUGUGAUGCAGUAGACAACCAAAAAAGUGAUAACAGGAGCGUUGUCCCAGUGGAAAGUUUCAAUCUGUAUCCUCUCUAAAAUCGUACUGGAAAAUCAAAUUAAAGAGGCAAUUGAGACGAAGCAUAAAUCGUUUCAAAACGUGUUAAACCGUGAAGGAAGGCUCGAUUGAUUUACCGGUGGAUGCAGGAUCCUUAUUCUCGUCGAUCCCUGCCCACACUAAGCAUCCAACUCCCA
This is a long non-coding RNA of Orussus abietinus, 492 nucleotides long. RefSeq lists it as uncharacterized. Lineage: Eukaryota; Metazoa; Arthropoda; Insecta; Hymenoptera; Orussidae. The record is from RefSeq and is a predicted model, not a curated record. The transcript has 3 exons.